Molecule: non-coding RNA, 221 nt
Filed under: Paenibacillus sp.
Lineage: Bacteria; Bacillati; Bacillota; Bacilli; Caryophanales; Paenibacillaceae
Also listed under: 1 other name
Description: GlcN6P sequence
Rfam family: glmS glucosamine-6-phosphate activated ribozyme aptamer
About the family: This entry contains a glucosamine-6-phosphate activated ribozyme that is found in the mRNA for GlmS. GlmS is an enzyme that uses fructose-6-phosphate and glutamine to generate glucosamine-6-phosphate.
Source: RNAcentral
GGAUGAAUAAAAGCGCCAGAACUUGAGCUAGCGCGGGGCGAAUGAUGAAUUGAUGACAUGAAUAUGUUAUCACAUGAAUUCUGAAUUCAACGGCAGACCAAGUUGACGAGGUAGAGGUGUUCGAAUGUUCGGCGGGGACCUCUCGGUGAUGCACCAGAGCCGUGAACCGAAAACGGAAAAUGAAUGGGCGACUGUUCACACAACGAUUCGGUGGGUGCUAG